ACUUGUUCAUGUCUUUUGCCCAUUUUUCAGAUUUACCGGAACAUUCCAGGAUUUUUACGUACACUUAUGGAUGCCCUGAGAAAAGACAAAAUAAUCUUUCCUAAUGAUGAAAAUGUUAAAUUCCUUUCUUCUCCUCUUCUCAUCUUACAUGGAGAGGAUGACAGGACAGUGCCUUUGGAGUAUGGGAAAAAGGUCUAUGAAAUUGCAUGCAAUGCAUACAGGAACAAAGAGAGGGUCAAGAUGGUUAUCUUUCCUCCUGGCUUCCAACAUAACCUGCUUUGUAAAAGCCCCACACUGUUAAUAACCGUGAGAGAUUUCCUGAGCAAGCAAUGGUCAUGAGUCUGGGAGGAGUGGAAAUCUUCAAUGAAGACUUGGUCCAAACACCACCUGUGAUGUGUAUUGUUUUAAUGUAAAAUUGUACUGGGCUGGUCGGAUGAGCUGAAGCCAUUGACUUCUCUACAAAUCACUUGCCAUUUUAACAACAGAAAGUACGAAUGUUAGGCAGUAUGGAAUGUUCUUGUUUGGCUUAUCAUAAUCUACUUUGUAAAACAUACUGAAACCUCACUGUGGAGAACCAGAAUUUGGUAAAAUCUAGAUCCUAUCUAAAAAUAUGUAGUUAUCAAACAUUCUAUGGAUAUUUGUGAAUAAGGUAGUUGCUAUGGUCUGAAUAUCUGGGCCUGCCCCCCAAAUUAUGUUGAAACCUAAUCACCAGUGUGAUGGUAAUAGGAGGUGGGGUUGAGCUCUCAUGAAUGAGAUUAGUGCCCUGAUAAAUUAUGGCCAAAAGAGCUCUUCACUCCUCCUAC
RNAcentral lists this small RNA (803 nucleotides) under Pongo abelii (Sumatran orangutan). RNAcentral's name for it is "processed transcript". The record is from RNAcentral. Lineage: Eukaryota; Metazoa; Chordata; Mammalia; Primates; Hominidae.